This 486-nucleotide long non-coding RNA is filed under the name Lepidothrix coronata (blue-crowned manakin). RNAcentral's name for it is "lncRNA (ENSLCOG00000003595.1)". Lineage: Eukaryota; Metazoa; Chordata; Aves; Passeriformes; Pipridae. The record is from RNAcentral.
CUUGGCUACUGUUGGCUGCGGGAGCUUGUCCCUGUGCAGCGUGGCUGGCCCCAGAGCCGUCUGGAGGGCAAGGCAGGCUGGUCACUGAGGCUGCCAGGCUGUAUAGUCCGAAGCAAAGGAGAACUGUCACCUAGACCUGGACUGGGGGGAAGAACCAGCAUGGUGAGGACGGUACAGGGUGUGAGGAUUGUGGUAGAAGCCUUGUAGGAGAAUGCAAACUCCACGGACCACUCAUCAGGGCUAAAGAUAGGGUUAUUCCCAGCCGAGCCCGUCUCACCCUACCUCACUACCUCACUUUGCGAGUGUUGGAGCUGCGAGCUGGAAACCAGCAGAUCCUUGGUGUAUUUGCAAAGAAAGUAAUACAGAAGAGAACACAGUUUGGUCCUUAUGUUGGUCAACUGUCUACAAAACUGACCUGCUAUGAUGAGAGCAGGCUAGUCCUGCAGGUAUUGAAAGAUGGAGGGAAGUACUUUCUGGACACUCCCA